UGAUAGUUUUAUUUCCUUCUUUCCUUUUGUUUGCUUGCUCCGUUCCCCACACCCCCAACCCCGGGUUCAGGUGGCUGAGUCAAAACCUCUUGUUAUUCAAACAGAUGUCAUGCAGAGGGAGCUAGAGAGCUGCCUAAGGAGAGAGUACACUUCUGAAAAUUUACCUUUGCUUCUGUUGCAGUAUUAUACAGAGAGAAUUACCCAGCUGGCCCAGAGUAAAUAUUUACACAUGCUUAGGUGGAAGAGAUUUUGCCAUCACAGUAAGAUCACGGAGCAACUUUAUCCGUUUUAUAAGAAACAAGUUGCCUACAUUAUGCAGGAGUACAAUGUUGCCCUUCAGAGAGCUGAUAGAUUGUUGCAGGAGAAAACUUCCUUAUGGGAAAAAACAAUCCUCCUAACUUAGUGGCACAGGAAGACCUGACUGUUUACACAAAUUAGUUAUUGUGUCACCUACCCUCACUCAAGACUAUUCACCACUACCUGCAGGCCCUCCAGUAUUUGCCCAUCUCCAAAGUGCUGAGUGUAGCUGUUGAUGAAGUCCCCAAGGUUGGUCAGGAAAAUGAAAAGGUCCCUGUCAAUGACAUUGACCCUAACAUCCAGGGUUCUGUAUCUCCAGGCUCUAUGAAUACCAGCGUUUCAGAUGACUUAGAAACCUGAUCAGGUUUUCACUCUGCGUGAUGAAUUUACCAGGUGCACCUGGAGAGGCAGCCAACCCAGCUGUGGGGAAUCAGAGAAAGCAUAUCCAGGGGCAAGUCCAACCUGGGUGCUUAGAGAUGAGUAGGAGUGAGCCAGGCGAAAGGAGGUGAAGGUUCUCAGCUUCUCCUAAUUUGUUUGUUAACUUAUAAAUCAUAUUCUUUGUUUACCCCAAAGGACUAUAGGUAGUUCUGUUCCCACUAAGUCAUUCCCCAAAAGAUAUGUUGGGUUUCUUCUGCAGUCUGUGAGAAGGGAGGGUCCUGGCUACCUCCCCCAGAAAGCCAGCACCAAGAAUUUGUCAGAUAGGCCUGGCUGAGUGUGGGACAGUCUACAGAUUGUGGAAGAGAAGGUUGGGCAUGGAGCAGAAUGGUCUUCCCCAUCAGCAGAAGAAGCCCUGACUCCAGUUAUCUCAAAGGACUCUCCUUUUUCUCUCCCUGACUGGUGUUCAUUGGUGUUAGUGCUCUUGAUUUUGGAUUUUUUUUCAGGGCCAACAAGAACAGAAGCUGCUUUCUUUCUGCCCCAACACACAACAGAAACAGAAGAACUGAAACCUCAGCUAAGGCUCCUGCUCUCCCAUUUCAGUAUCCCAUAUGACAUGGAAGAGCUAAGGGAUGCUUCUGAGGAGAUAGAACUUUUUUCCUUGGUACUUUAUGGAUUCUUUCUUAAUACAAAUAUAGGUGUUCAUAAAAGAAAAUACUAGUAUUUGCCACAAAGUUGAAUAUUCAUACUGCCACAAUUGUUUCCAGAGUGAUAAAAUGUAAUAAGUGAAAUUUAGACUAGCAGUUGAACUUUCUCUCUGUAAGAGUUAUGAGCCCCUUGAAUAUCCAGCCCAGAGGGAUUGUAGGAUUAUUUUUCAGUGGAAUUUAAAGAAAAUGGUAGGUUAUAAUCCAUAGUAGAUAAUGUAAACAUAGCCAAGACUUGGCAGUUUUAUAUUGUGGAGUUGUUUAGUGUCUAAAGCCCUUUGAUUACCAGAAAGUGUUCCAAUAGCUCUCCUAUUGGCAAAAUGCUUUAUAUUCAGUAGAGUGUAUAUUGUGUAGUGAUUUUUAAAGUCACGCAGUCUAGUCUGCUAUCACAUGGCGUUGCACCUCCUUGAAAAAAAAUCAUCCUAUCAGAAGCCAUGUUAAAACUUGUUUCAAAGGGAAAAAUAGGAUUGUAUGUAGAGAACCUCGAAUUUACAAUAAUAAAGUUUUCAGCCAGAGUUUCAACAUAAAGAUAUUUUUCUAGCUCUGGGUGUAUAAUAUUUGUAAAUAUAUAUAUUUGUUAGGUAAAAAUAGUAAGUUGAUUAUCCAAAAAGGCAAAGAUCAAAUCUGUAUGUUUUUGAACAUUCUUCGUGUAAGAAGGAGCCACUGUUUCAUCACCAUUUGCUUUGCCCUUGCAGUUCUGCAUCCAUGUGUAUUUGUUCCAGCAUGAUUUUCCUAGGAUUAUUUUUAUUAGUAUGUAACACAGACUCUUUAAGCUCACUGAAACCAGUGGUAUGACAUGUCCUCUGGUUUCUUUGAAGGUGAUGAUGAUGUUUAGCUUUUGUCUUUCUUUUCAUAUCAGCAGCAGCACUGUCUUCAGCAGAGAGUGCUUCUAUGGGAAUAUCCUCACCCUCAUUAUCAGCGUCCUAUGAUAGACGAAAACCAGAAUCAGAACAAGGUGGUGUUUAAAAAGAGUCCAAAUAAAUAAAAGUAGUUUAUGGCACAGUAGACUAUCAUCGGUGAUAACAAAGGAACAUGAGGCUGCAGAGCCCUCCCACAGAGCAGCCCUGUCCCCAAAGGAUAGCUUGUCUUCUUUAUAUAGAGACAGUUUCUACUUUUGAUUUCCUUAUAACAGUAUUAUGCACAAUGCUAAUUGUGCUUCCAAGAUAAUCACACUACAACAAAUUUUUCGUGUAGGAAGAAUUUCUACAAACAGGAAGAGUGUUUAUUUUGGUUCUCUAAUGCCCUAGAGCAGGGUCAGCAAACUACAGCCUAUAGCCCACCACCUAGUUUUUCUGCAAUAAAGUUUUAUUGGAGUACAGCCAUGCCAUUUCAUUUAUGUACUGUCUGUGGCUGCUUUCCACUAUAACUGCAGAGUCGAGUAGUUGCAACAGAGCCCAUGUGGUCUGCAAAGUCUAAAAUAUUUACUAUCCACCCCUUUAGGAAAAAGUUUGCCACCCUAGCCUUAGACUAGCACUGUCUCAUCGAACUUCCUGCACUGAGGGGUAUGAUCUGUGUCUGUCCGAUGUGUUAACACUAGUCACAUGUGGCCUUUGAGCACUUGAGAUGUGGGUAGAGUAAAUGAACUAAAUUUUAAAUUUUAUUUAAUUUUAAUAAAUUUGCAUUUAAAUGUUAAAUAGCCACAUGUGGCUGGGGCAACAGUAUUGGACAGCACAGCCUGGGAGGUACCAGCAUUAACUGGAAGAAUCUUUAGCUCUGUGACUCACUGAACUUAUUUAUUCCAGAAACCUUUGUUGAGGCCCUACUGUGUGCCAGCAC
Non-coding RNA from Delphinapterus leucas (beluga whale), 3152 nucleotides. NCBI's taxonomy places the organism in Eukaryota, Metazoa, Chordata, Mammalia, Artiodactyla, Monodontidae. The record is from RefSeq and is a predicted model, not a curated record.